Molecule: long non-coding RNA, 328 nt
Organism: Nematostella vectensis (starlet sea anemone)
Lineage: Eukaryota; Metazoa; Cnidaria; Anthozoa; Actiniaria; Edwardsiidae
Exons: 2
Source: RefSeq, a predicted model, not a curated record
UCUAGUCGGGUAACCACUGCGAACUUGGUAGGCGGAGAGGCCGAAGUACAUGCACAUAAAGAUGUACAUGAAGAUUGCUGGGAUGUUCUUAAAAAAUGGUCUGGAAGGCAAAAAAAGCUGUCAUUACAGUGGCGAGAUCCUGGUACCAACCUCAGGCGAAGAGAAGGCAGACCAGCUGAAAAGUAUGAUGAUGAAGAUGAUAAACUGACAGGCGAACAUGAUGGCGUAGACAUCCACCGCGCCAGACCCCACCUCGGGGUCGUAGAUACGAUUCAGGAACGCCUUCACAGAACGGCAAAUCCUGCAAAUAACAUUACUUGCAUUCAAA